GGAGUGGUGCUCGAGUGGUUGAAGAGGCACGCCUGGAAAGCGUGUAUACGCCAAAAGCGUAUCGGGGGUUCGAAUCCCCCUCACUCCGCCA
Molecule: transfer RNA, 91 nt
Filed under: Muribaculaceae bacterium
Lineage: Bacteria; Pseudomonadati; Bacteroidota; Bacteroidia; Bacteroidales; Muribaculaceae
Description: tRNA-Ser
Rfam family: tRNA
About the family: Transfer RNA (tRNA) molecules are approximately 80 nucleotides in length. Their secondary structure includes four short double-helical elements and three loops (D, anti-codon, and T loops).
Source: RNAcentral